Molecule: long non-coding RNA, 2289 nt
Filed under: Homo sapiens (human)
Lineage: Eukaryota; Metazoa; Chordata; Mammalia; Primates; Hominidae
Description: HSALNT0409010
Source: RNAcentral
GGCGGGUGGUGUCAGGUCUCCUGCCAGUGAGGAAAGAAACGCGGCUCGGGGCGCACACUGCUUGCUGUUAGGGAGCAGAAGCAGAGAGUACCCUCAGUCUCAGCCACCAUGUCUGCCGUUCUCAGUGACCUGGCUGGUCGAGUAACAGACCUUUAUCCCUGAGGAUUGUUUCUGAGCCCAUGGUCCCCGUGCCCUUCUCAGACUGUGGAAAUUGCAUGUGUCCAUUUACCAUAAAAAUUGGGCAGGGAAUUAUUAGGAGACAUUCAAAUGGAUCACCUGGGUGCCAAAUAUAUCCUUCUCUGUUCACAGUGUGUAAGAACAACCCUGCCUCCUCCUGAUGAUCAGAGCCAAUACCCCUGACAGAGUGGCUACUCUUCUUUACACCUGCUUAGUCCCACAGCCAUAGCAGGAGGAAUGAACCCAAGGUUCCCAUGACUUGUAAUUCAGUUAUCAGCCAUGGCUCGUAAUUCAGUGGGGCUCCUACUGUGUCUACUGGUGGAAGCAUUUCCAUUUGAAUAGCCAGGAUCCACUGUUCAAUAAGGUAGCCACUAGCUGCAUGUGCCUACUGAGUACUUGAAAUGUACCUGGUGUGUCUGAAGAACUGAAUUUUAAUUAUCUAAAAUUCAGAUAAAAUAACAACUAAUUUUAUCUUAAUUUAAAUUUAAAUAGAUGAAUUUGGCUAGUGGUGACUGUAUUGUGGGGACAGGAAGCACAAAUUCCCAUGUGGAUCACUAGGAGAGAUAAUAAGUGGGGUCAUUUCACCCCUUGGUCCCCUGCUUCCAGACCCAAAGAGGCCUACAUGGCAUUGUGCUUCCUUCUUAGUUGUAGGAGGUGUGAGAUACAAUCAUUUGCCUCUGACUUUGGAGGGUUGGUCCUAGCAUGCCCCUGACCAGUAGCCCCUUAAAUACUUCAUUGAUAUGGAAGGUCUCUGAAUCUUCGUGGGCUUAAUCUACCACUCUCUGAAGUGCUUAUGUCUUUCAAAGGCCUCUAAAAUCUCUGCCAUGUCUUGCUCAUCCAGUUGUUAGCAUGAUGUCAUUGAUACAGUGGACUUUGGAAUCUAAGUGGGGAGACACUGGUAAGUGACCAAUUACUUCACCUGUGGUGUGCAAGCCAGAUCAGGAAGCCUCUACCAUUGCUUUCCUGUGCUGGGAAAGCUAUUUUUAGUGUGUAGACUUCAUGCCAGAUUUGCCCAGAUCAGGGGCGGGAUGCCCAGAGCUCCUGGUUAUUGGAAGUGCUCUACCUUGAGUACAGAAAUCCACACCAACUCACUCCCUUCUCCAAGGGGACCCUCACCCUGAGGAAUUUAACUGGGCCUUGCUAACAUGCUGGGAGAAUGUCCCUGAGAAAAAGAGCAGUGAAGGCGCACAUGAAUUUCCUGUUGCAUACCCACAGUGGGCCAGAAACAAGACCAUUGGAUUUUUACCUCGUACUUUUGAUGUUUGGCAGCCAUUGAUUCUAGUUCGGGGGUGAAAGAUAGAGAUGACACAUGUAUUGGAACCUUUCUUGGGGACUGCUAGUCUUAGGGACAAACUGCCAAAAUCAAGCUAGGCAAUGGUGGCCACAGCUAUGGGAUGGAGAGUGAGGAAUAGGACAUAUAAGCUGACAGCUGGAGGCCCAGACACUGCCCAUGUUAGUGUGGUUGGGGACAAAAUAAGGAACCAGAGUGGGUGGAACAGGAGCAGUUCAGGGACUCUGCAGAAAUAACCUAUGGCUCCUCAGAGAUCUUACAAGGGAAGCUUCCCUUGAGCACCUAGAUGUCAAAGAGAUUGGCAGAGGCAGGAAGGACAUGUUCCCAAGCAAAAAGUAACAGCAGCUAACUUUGAUUUCAUGGAAGGUGCGAGUCCAGCUGUGAGUCAGAAUAGGGAGACAGGCAGUGAACAGAGGACAGAAUGAUGACCUGCAGUGCUGAGAAACAGGCCUAUCCAUGACUUUGUCCUCAGUCCCUGACCCAGGGGAACACCAAGGAUGCCAUGGGGUGCAGGGAGGGCCAGAAGAGCUAAGUACCCAAUUUCUACAUAAGGGCCCCUGCUCCAGGACAGGGCCGGGAGAAGACAUAUAGAUGAUACCUACCCCCAGUCCUCCAACAAACACAUCUGCCUCAAAACUGACAUAUUCUCAGCUGGUGGAAGCAUCCAGGAAAGAUAACACAUAGCUCCAUGUGCAGCUGUGGUGCCUGUGGGGCACUGGGGGUUAUACCACCGAACAGAGCUUGGACAGUGUCCCCAGCUCCUAUUCUUUUUGAAACUGUGUUAAAAUAUAUAUCAUAUAAAAGUCACCGUCUUAACCAUU